CUCGUGGCCGAGAUCAAAGCAUUGCUGGUGUCGGGAAUGGUGAGGGGCAACCCGGAGGAAACAUUGCUGCUUCCUUAGAUGGAUCAUUGUGUAUCUUUUCUCCCGGUUGUCUUCACUAUUUUUGACACGGUUAGUGAUGAAGGUGGCUAAGAG
Molecule: non-coding RNA, 153 nt
Organism: Marchantia polymorpha subsp. ruderalis
Lineage: Eukaryota; Viridiplantae; Streptophyta; Marchantiopsida; Marchantiales; Marchantiaceae
Source: the annotation of a GenBank genome assembly